Equus asinus (donkey) is the source of this 5213-nucleotide long non-coding RNA. The record is from Ensembl. NCBI's taxonomy places the organism in Eukaryota, Metazoa, Chordata, Mammalia, Perissodactyla, Equidae.
AGCCUUUCUGAUGAUUCUGGGCUUCCUAGAAUCUGGACUUCCUUUAGUUGGUGGUUAUAAGGAAAAUAAUAUUAUUUGAUGUUAUUUGAAGGGGGUAUACAUAUGGGAGAUGAGUUAUCGUUUCUUGUAAGUCUAUAUAAAUACACCUAUACUUAUGGGAACGUAAACAUGGGCACUCCUCAUGAGUUUCAGCCGUUGAGCCAUUGGACAUUUACUGAACUGUUAUUAUGUGCCAAGUGCUAUGCAUGUGCUUGGAUUCAGAGAUGAGAUGCAUAAUCCUGGUCUUUUAAGAGCUCAGGGUUUGAUGGGGGGAGAUAAACAAGUAGAUAAUUAUGCUACAGAAUAAGUGCUAUGCCAGAGGUAAACCUAGGGUCUUUCAAAAGGGCCUGUUCUCACUUGCUUCCUCUCAGCUUAUCCUCCAGACUCUGUUUAAAAGUUGUAAGAGAUCUUAGUGAGGCCUGGAGAAAAGAAGCAGUUUGCCUAAGGUCUUACCCAUGGCUGGUCAGCAGUAAAGCUGGAACUGAAAUCUGAGUUGUCAUGCUCGCUGUCUCUUUCACAUGUGCUCUUACCUCCACCAGCACUGACCUGGACUUUUCCUGCCUUGCCCUGGAUCCUUACUCUUUUCAAAGAGGUGCUCUCCCUGCUCCACCAUCUUUUCCAGCUUCCGUUCUUAUUGCCUUGUCACAGUUAGUGUUGCAGUGAAGUAGGAAGACCUGGGAGCCUGCGGUUUGAGCUUGUUGAGGGAGAAGAAUGGUUCUUAGCAUUGGCUGCACGUUAGAAUUGCUUACAGAGCUUUUAUAGAAUACUAAUAGCUGAGAUUCUGAUUUUUACUCCCAUGUUUAUUUGUUUGUUAUUGAGUUACAUCUGCAGUAAAAUACCCCAAUUUUUAAGUAAAAUACCCGGUGAAUGUUUGUAUAUGUGUACAGUUGUGUACAGAUUACUCACAUCAAGAUACGCAUCAGAUCAAGAUACAGAACUCCAGAGGGCUCCCUCAUGCUUCUUCCUCGUCAGUACUGGCUGCCCAAGUAACCACUUCUUCUGACUUCUGUCUCCACUGAUGGGUUUUGUCUAUUCUUGAGUUUCAUACAAAUGGAAUCACACACUGUGCACCAUUUUGGGUCUGGCUUUUUUUUGCUCAAUAUCAUAUCUGGAUAUUCAUCCAUGUUGCCUACAGCGGUAUGUAGUAUUUCAUUGUUUGGAUGCACCACAAUUAUUUGUUGAUUCUACUGUUGAUGGACCUUUGGGGUCUCACCAGUUUUAGCCAUAUGACAAAGCUGCCAUGCACGUUCUUAUUAAUCUUGUCUGUUUUGGGGGGCGUGUGCACUCGUUUCUCUUGGGUGUGUACCUAGGAGUAAGAUUGCCGGGCCGUGUGUCUCGCUUUGGUAGACAUUGCUAAACAGUUGUGUGGUUGUGCUAGAUGUUAGCAUUAAAAAUUGUUUUUAUUAAAAAUUUCAAGCAUUCACAAAAGUAAGGAGUCUAAUAUAGCAAACCUACAUAUGUCUAGAUUCAGUAAUUUUCAAGAUUUUGCUACGUUUGCUUCAUUCCUUUUUUUUUGUUUGUUGAAGAAUCUUAAAGCAAACCCCAGAUAUUAUGUCAUUUUACCCCUACAUACUUCCACAUGCGUCUUUAUAUAUGGACAUUUUCUCACAUAACCGUAAUGCCAUUAUCAAAUUUAAUGAAAUUAACAAAUCCUUAAUAGUGUCUAAUUCCUAGGUCAUAAUCAAAUUUCCUUGACUGUCUUAAAAAUGUCUUUGCAGUCAGUGAGUUAGAAUAAGAAUCUGACCGUAGUCCACACAGUACAUUAAGUCGUCAUGUUUCUUGUUUCUUUCUAUCUGGAACAGUCCCUCUGCCCCUUUUUCACAUCAUUAACUCAUUAUAGAAAUUGGGUCAGUUGUCAGAUAGUAGUGACAGUCCUGAAAGCUCCCCAGGUUUUUCUGGUAUUUCGCCAGGGUUGAAAACCCCUGAGAUAGAGUGUCUGUCUUCCGACUAUUCUUAGAAGAGGGUGAAGGAUGGGGAUAGAGUGUAAAUGUUGGGUGGGUGGUCGAAGCUGUCGUGACAGGUGAGAGUGUGGACGUCUUGUGCAGUAGGAGUGGGAUGUGGCUCUAGCAGCGGCGGACGCCCAGGGGAGAGUGUGGGGACUAGCGUGACUCUUCUUGUUCAGUAGGAACUUCAGAGGUUGGUUCUCUAACCCAACAGUCAGAGACUCUGACGCGACAAAGCAGAUAGGAUUUCUUCCCUGCUGAAGUUUUUUUCUUGGAGAACGGUAGACCAUGAGAUUUUUUUAAAUUUGCUGAGCGAAAUUGGAAAAUAGGUCAUUCGUAGCAAUUGAGAUACUUGAGGCUCAAUGAAAGAAAACUUAAAGGGGUUAGAAGUUAAGUCUGUACACGGCACAGGGAGGAAGUGCUGACACACCCCGCAGGCGGGAGGCUGCUGUGUCCUAGAGCAGGCCUCCAGAAAGCGCAACAGGUGAUGGUGUUCUGCUCUAGGAAGCCGGGGCUGAUGCCUCCUAGUUUGUGCCCAGCGCCUUCUAGUAACUAGCCACCGUAUCACUCCUUUCUCUUUACCUGCUAGGGCCAAAUUGUCCCAAUAAUCUUAUUUUCAGUAACUCAUCAGGUGUAAGUGCUCAACAGAGAUUUAUGGGAAAGCGGUAAUGCUGGUCACCAGCAGGGACUGAAGUGGUAUAUCCAGGUCAGGAAACCUGGGGAGGUCAGGGCAGCUGUCGCCUGGCUUUGGGGUACUGGGGGAGCACAGGUUGUCAGAACUAGAAGGGCCCUUGGGUUCUAGGAUUUUACCCACCCAUCUCCCCUUUCCAAGGCUUUCUGUUAUAGAGAAUUGCAAACUUACACCACACAGGAAACUUCAUGAUGAACUUCCAGGCCCCCACCCCCAGUUUCACCAGUGAUGAAGUCACGGUCAAUCUUGUUUCAUCUAUACGCUCAUCCACUUAACCCUAUCCUGUAAUAUUCUGAAGGAAAUUCAAGACACCAUGUCAUUUCGCCUGUAAACAUUUCAGUAUGUGUCUUUAAAAGUUAAGGACUUUUUUAAAUAAAAAAAACCACCCACAAUUUUAAUAUCACAUCCAAAAAUAAAAAAGAAUUCUUUAAUACCAUCAAAUACCCAGUCAUCCAGAUUUCACUUUUCUCAUCAAUGUAAUGAUGCUGUUUUGUUUUGUUUUUUACAGUUUGUUUGAAUCAGUGUCUAAUUAAGGUCCAUGUGCUGUGAUUGGUCAGUAGGUCUUUUAAGAAUUUUUUCAUCCAUAGGUUCUCUCUCCACCCUCCCCUUUUUAGUGUACAGGGUAUCUUAGUCACAUGUUGCCGCAUAACGAAAGUUAGCAGCAUAAAGCAAUCUACACUUAUUACAGCACGGUUUCUCUUGGUUCGGAACCUGGACAUGGCUUGGCUGGGUCCCCUGCCUCAGGGUCUCAGGCAAGGCAUCAGCCAGGGCUGCAGCCCUCUCAGGGUGAGCCUGGGGAAGGACCGGCUUCCCAGUUCACUCAGCGGUUGUUGGCGGGAUUCAGGUGCUCGUGGGCAGGUGGACGGAGGGCCUCAGUUCCUUGUUGGUUGGUGGAUGGAGGGCACCCUCAGCUCCUUGCCACGUGGGCCUCUCCAGCACGGCAGCUAGCUUUGUCAAAGCAAGCAAGACGCGGCAAGAGAGAAUGCCAGCAGGAAAGAACUCAGUCUUUUUAAUCAGAAUCUCAGAAGUGACAUCUUGUAACUUUUGGCAUAAUCUCUUCAUCAGAAGCAAGUUAUUAGGUCCAGCCCACACUCAAGGGGAGGAGCCCACAUGGAACCUGGACACUAGGAGGUGGGGAUCACGGGAACCAUUUUAGAAGACUACCCACCUUGGAGAGAUGAACUCUAGAGACCAGGUCCUCUGGCUAUCAGUCUAUUUGCCUUUUUACCACAUUAUUGAUGCCACUGGGGAGAAAAAGGCUGGCCAACCCCUGCAUUUCAUUUGCCUCUAUCUGUGUAGUAAUUCACUUGUGUAAUUUCCUUCUGUGACGCUCUGAUAAAUGUCAUGUUUGUAUAUGUCAGUAACCAGAGCCCGCAGUUAAGAAUCCUAGGUAGGCCAGGCUGACUGCUCUGAGCUUUUUCAUCUUGAUCAAGAAAUGAACCAGUCACCAGUCCUUAAGAAAAUAUUGACUGUGUAUUUCCCACUGUGCCAGGCCUCUGGAGGUACAAAAGGAGUAGAAAGGAAUAAGAAGAUAGUCUAUAAUUAUUGUGUGGUAUGGACGAUAAGUGCAAAAAAUUAGAAAUUAGCAUUGAGUCAUUUCAGCCAAUACUUUUGAGUACUUUCUAUGUGUAAAGCUCCGUGUUAAGUGCUGUGGGGAGGAUAAGACUCAGUAACGACAAGCUUCUGCUCCCUCCUUAGGAGGAUGGAAGAUAAAGCUAUAAUGCAAAGUAGACUGGAAAUCGCUCAGGUGGAGAUACACACAAAGUACUUUGGGAGCACAGGAUGGAGAAGCUUAGGAUGUCAGAGCCAAAAAAAGGCCCUUAGAGGUCAUCAGGACUACUGGUCUUUACCAUUUUGGGGACACGGAGCCAUUUGGUCAGAGGGGUUCAAGAAACCUCUUUGCUAAGAUAAGGGAAUCAAGUGAAAUUAGACAGAAUAUGAAUUUUUCCACUGCCGGGGACAGGCGGACUUGAGUUGGAGUUAGUAGCCUUGGAUCCUAGACUCGAGUUCUCCAGCACCGAGGACCUUCUCAGUAAAACUGGCACCUAACCUGGCCAAAGAUGAGGGAACUUCUACCCAGAGAAUUAUGAUAAUUCUGCGAGGGUCCCAGGACUGGUAAAUCAGAGAGACGAGACUAGGACGCAGGAUUCCGCCGCCCAUGGUCCUGCCCAGGACGUGUGUGCGUGUGAGUGAAUGCUGUUUUGUUUUGUUUGUUUUUAGCACUGAAGACGUUGACUGGAGACUUGCUGGCAAGCACAACUUACGAAAGGAACAAGGGAAAGAGACGCAGCCAUAGCUACAAGAAGCACCUGGGACGGGGGAGGCGCAGCGAACUGGCGGGGAGCCCGAGUCUUUCUUGUCACUCAGGGUCCUCCCUGCCCUCUCGGCCGCUGCCUGGUUACACGCCUGCCCCCAACUUCCCCCCUCUCGCAUUAGGGCUGCUUUCAAAUGACUUCUGCUGGAACUGGGCAAGUUAAUUUCUCAAGCUUCCUUUCCCAAGGGCUUCCUGGUGCACUUAGAGGGGAAGAGACACUCAACAU